CGGGAGGCAGCAGUGGGGAAUUUUCCGCAAUGGGCGAAAGCCUGACGGAGCAAUACCGCGUGAGGGAAGAAUGCCUAUGGGUUGUAGACCUCUUUUUUCAGGGAGGAAUAAAUGACGUGUACCUGAAGAAUAAGCAUCGGCUAACUCCGUGCCAGCAGCCGCGGUAAGGCGGAGGAUGCAAGUGUUAUCCGGAAUCACUGGGCGUAAAGCGUCUGUAGGUGGUUAAACAAGUCAACUGUUAAAUCUUGAGGCUUAACUUCAAAAUCGCAGUCGAAACUAUUUGACUAGAGUAUAGUAGGGGUAAAGGGAAUUUCCAGUGGAGCGGUGAAAUGCGUAGAUAUUGGAAAGAACACCGAUGGCGAAGGCACUUUACUGGGCUAUUACUGACACUCAGAGACGAAAGCUAGGGUAGCAAAUGGGAUUAGAUACCCCAGUAGUCCUAGCCGUAAACAAUGGAUACUAGAUGUUGAACAGAUCGACCUGUGCAGUAUCAAAGCUAACGCGUUAAGUAUCCCGCCUGGGAAGUAUGCUCGCAAGGGUGAAACUCAAAGGAAUUG
This 557-nucleotide ribosomal RNA is filed under the name uncultured bacterium. RNAcentral describes it as "bacterial SSU rRNA". It matches the Rfam family "Bacterial small subunit ribosomal RNA", at positions 342 to 912 of the family's 1533-position model. The record is from RNAcentral.